RNAcentral lists this ribosomal RNA (429 nucleotides) under Pseudomonadota bacterium. RNAcentral describes it as "Proteobacteria bacterium partial 16S ribosomal RNA". It matches the Rfam family "Bacterial small subunit ribosomal RNA", at positions 355 to 776 of the family's 1533-position model. The record is from RNAcentral. Lineage: Bacteria; Pseudomonadati; Pseudomonadota.
UGGGGAAUAUUGGACAAUGGGCGAAAGCCUGAUCCAGCCAUGCCGCGUGUGUGAAGAAGGUCUUCGGAUUGUAAAGCACUUUAAGUUGGGAGGAAGGGCAGUAAGCGAAUACCUUGCUGUUUUGACGUUACCGACAGAAUAAGCACCGGCUAACUCUGUGCCAGCAGCCGCGGUAAUACAGAGGGUGCAAGCGUUAAUCGGAAUUACUGGGCGUAAAGCGCGCGUAGGUGGUUCGUUAAGUUGAAUGUGAAAGCCCCGGGCUCAACCUGGGAACGGCAUCCAAAACUGGCGAGCUAGAGUAGGGCAGAGGGUGGGGGAAUUUCCUGUGUAGCGGUGAAAUGCGUAGAUAUAGGAAGGAACACCAGUGGCGAAGGCGACCACCUGGGCUCAUACUGACACUGAGGUGCGAAAGCGUGGGGAGCAAACAGG